This 482-nucleotide ribosomal RNA is filed under the name uncultured bacterium. RNAcentral describes it as "partial 16S ribosomal RNA". It matches the Rfam family "Bacterial small subunit ribosomal RNA", at positions 30 to 507 of the family's 1533-position model. The record is from RNAcentral.
AUUGAACGCUGGCGGCAUGCCUUACACAUGCAAGUCGAACGGUAACAGGUCUUCGGAUGCUGACGAGUGGCGGACGGGUGGGUAAUACAUCGGAACGUGCCCGAUCGUGGGGGAUAACGAAGCGAAAGCUUUGCUAAUACCGCAUACGAUCUACGGAUGAAAGCCGGGGACCGCAAGGCCUUGCGCGAACGGAGCGGCCGAUGGCCGAUUAGGUAGUUGGUGGGAUAAAAGCUUACCAAGCCGACGAUCUGUAGCGGGUCUGAGAGGACGAGCAGCCACACUGGGACUGAGACACGGCCCAGACUCCUACGGUAGGCAGCAGUGGGGAAUUUUGGACAAUGGGCGAAAGCCUGAUCCAGUCAUGCCGCGUGCAGGAUGAAGGCCUUCGGGUUGUAAACUGCUUUUGUACGGAACGAAAAGACUCUGGUUAAUACCUGGGGUCCAUGACGGUACCGUAAGAAUAAGCACCGGCUAACUACGUG